Molecule: long non-coding RNA, 668 nt
Filed under: Mytilus galloprovincialis (Mediterranean mussel)
Lineage: Eukaryota; Metazoa; Mollusca; Bivalvia; Mytilida; Mytilidae
Source: RNAcentral
GUUUGUAUCAUUUAACACAUGGCAAGAGUAAAAUCUCUUUGUUCUUACUGUGCUAUAAUCUAGAUAAUGCACAGCAAAGGUGUGCAUUAACUACCUCAGAUAUACCGCACAGUUCAAAUAUAUUUUUACCUUUAGGGGCGUUAUUCUAUCAAAUUAAAAAAAAACAAGAAUGUGUCCAUAGUACACAAAUGCCCCACUCGCACUAUCAUUUUCUAUGUUCAGUGGACCGUGAAAUUGGGGUCAAAACUUUAUUUUGGAAUUAAAAUUAGAAAGAUCAUAUCAUAGGGAACAUGUGUACUAAGUUUCAAGUUGAUGUAACUUUAACUUCAUCAAAAACUACCUUGACCAAAAACUUUAACCUGAACUUCGCACUAUCAUUUUCUUUAUUCAGGGGACCAAGAAAUUGGGGUCAAAACUAUAAUUUGGCAGUAAAAUUAGAAAGAUAAUAUCAUGGGGAACAUGUGUACUAAGUUUCAAGUUGAUUGGACUUCAACUUCUUCAAAAACUACCUUGACCAAAAACUUUAACCUGAAGCGGACUGACGAACGGACGCACAGACGGACGGACGAACGGACGCACAGACGGACGGACGAACGGACGCACAGACGGACGGACGAACGGAAGAACGGAGGCACAGACCAGAAAACAUAAUGCCCCUCUACUAUCGU